GAAUGGAUCGUCAAUUUUAAUUUUGGGAUUAUGUGCUUUGUCAAAAUUACAAUUUUUAAGUAACAAAUACAAACAAGUUUAUUACAUCCAAAUGGUAUCCAUGCACAGCUGGAAGAGCCUUACACCUCACUGCUACUCUCCACCGCCGGCGUUUCCACCGUUACCACCUGAUCCUCUUCGCCGUCUCUUCCCCUCAAGCUAAACGACAACGAAGUCAACGGAACCAGGAACCGCCCUGUAGGUGGGACCCACAGGUUGAGCACACCUUGUGGCCUACCAGAAGGUCUCCAAACUAACACUGUCAUAAACUGGAUCGGAUUAUUCUCCAGCAUCUCCGAUUCCGGCGAUUUAGUAUCCUUCAACACAUCGGAGAGCAAAACUCGAGCGCUCCCCACCGGUUUCUCUCGAAUGUGUCCGUGAGCGUAAAUAUCCACGUUUAACGCCGCCAUGAUGUCAUUUUCCGGCAGCUUUUCGUGAAAUUUCACCUUCACCACCUGGUUCCAUAUUGGAUUGGUCCCGUCGUCUCCGUCGCCGGUGUGCUCCGCUAUUUUGGUUUUUGCCACGUGGACGUCUUUCACCACGUAGACCUCGGCGUAGGUUCUCAUCCUGGUCAAGUGUUUCACGUUCUUCAGGCCUUCUGCUGAGUAUAUGAGAACUUCUAUCUCCCUAAGCCGCUCCUCCGGUGGUGACCUCCGCCGGCGUAAAUGAGAU
This 711-nucleotide unclassified non-coding RNA is filed under the name Hevea brasiliensis (rubber tree). The record is from RNAcentral. Lineage: Eukaryota; Viridiplantae; Streptophyta; Magnoliopsida; Malpighiales; Euphorbiaceae.